Molecule: ribosomal RNA, 312 nt
Filed under: Nephroselmis pyriformis
Lineage: Eukaryota; Viridiplantae; Chlorophyta; Nephroselmidophyceae; Nephroselmidales; Nephroselmidaceae
Description: partial Eukaryotic small subunit ribosomal RNA
Rfam family: Eukaryotic small subunit ribosomal RNA
Source: RNAcentral
CGUUUACUUUGAACAAAUUAGAGUGCUUAAAGCAGGCUAUCCUCGCCUGAAUACUGCGUGCAUGGAAUAAUGGAAUAGGACCUCGGUUCUAUUUUGUUGGUUUUCGGAACCCCGAGGUAAUGAUUAAUAGGGACAGAUGGGGGCAUUCGUAUUGCGACGUUAGAGGUGAAAUUCUUGGAUCGUCGCAAGACGGACAGAAGCGAAAGCAUUUGCCAAAAAUGUUUUCAUUAAUCAAGAACGAAAGUUAGAGGUUCGAAGGCGAUCAGAUACCGCCCUAGUUCUAACCAUAAACGAUGCCAGCUAGCGAUCCGC